CCUACGGGGGGCAGCAGUGGGGAAUAUUGCGCAAUGGGCGAAAGCCUGACGCAGCGACGCCGCGUGAGGGAUGAAGGUCUUCGGAUCGUAAACCUCUGUCAGCAGGGAAGAACGGUCACUGUGCUAAUCAGCAGUGAAUUGACGGUACCUGCAAAGGAAGCACCGGCUAACUCCGUGCCAGCAGCCGCGGUGAUACGGAGGGUGCGAGCGUUAAUCGGAAUUACUGGGCGUAAAGCGCUCGUAGGCGGUAUGUCAAGUCAAGGGUGAAAUGCCCGGGCUCAACGUGGGAACUGCCUUUGAAACUGGCAAACUGGAGUGUGUGAGAGGAUAGUGGAAUUCCAGGUGUAGGAGUGAAAUCCGUAGAUAUCACGCAGAACUCCGAUUGCGAAGGCAGCAUACCGGCGCUCAACUGACGCUCAUGCACGAAAGCGUGGGUAUCGAACAGGAUUAGAUACCCGUGUAGUC
Molecule: ribosomal RNA, 465 nt
Filed under: uncultured bacterium
Lineage: Bacteria
Description: partial 16S ribosomal RNA
Rfam family: Bacterial small subunit ribosomal RNA
Source: RNAcentral